RNAcentral lists this ribosomal RNA (492 nucleotides) under uncultured bacterium. RNAcentral's name for it is "partial 16S ribosomal RNA". It matches the Rfam family "Bacterial small subunit ribosomal RNA", at positions 29 to 507 of the family's 1533-position model. The record is from RNAcentral.
AGUGAACGCUGGCGGUAGGCCUAACACAUGCAAGUCGAACGGCAGCACAGUAAGAGCUUGCUCUUACGGGUGGCGAGUGGCGGACGGGUGAGGAAUACAUCGGAAUCUACUUUUUCGUGGGGGAUAACGUAGGGAAACUUACGCUAAUACCGCAUACGACAUACGGGUGAAAGCAGGGGAUCUUCGGACCUUGCGCGAUUGAAUGAGCCGAUGUCGGAUUAGCUAGUUGGCGGGGUAAAGGCCCACCAAGGCGACGAUCCGUAGCUGGUCUGAGAGGAUGAUCAGCCACACUGGAACUGAGGCACGGUCCAGACUCCUACGGGAGGCAGCAGUGGGGAAUAUUGGACAAUGGGCGCAAGCCUGAUCCAGCCAUACCGCGUAGGUGAAGAAGGCCUUCGGGUUGUAAAGCCCUUUUGUUGGGAAAGAAAAGCAGCAGGUUAAUACCCCGCUGUUCUGACGGUACCCAAAGAAUAAGCACCGGCUAACUUCGUG